This is a non-coding RNA of Pelobates cultripes (western spadefoot toad), 241 nucleotides long. The record is from the annotation of a GenBank genome assembly. NCBI's taxonomy places the organism in Eukaryota, Metazoa, Chordata, Amphibia, Anura, Pelobatidae.
GGAGAAGUUAAUGUGAUAGGGUGAAGGGGGGAUGAGUUUGACAGGGUUAUGGGUUAUGUGUUGCACGGCUAGAGGAGGGAGUGUGACAAGGCUAGUGAAAGUGAGUCGGACAGGAUUAUGUGACAGGGUGAGUGUGGCAUGGUUGGGCCCAAGUGAAAGGGUUAAUGUGAAAAAGGAUGAGUGUGACAGGGUUGGGGGUGAGUGUGACAGUAUGAGAGAAGAUGAGUGUGAUAGGAUUAGG